UCACGUGCUCAAGGCCCGGGUUCUGACCCGGGUUCACUUGCCUGGUGUCUGCCUUUCCUUAACUUGAUGGGUGACUAGUGAUAAUGAUUAUGUCCUUCCUUCCCAACAGAGGGCCAACCCAUGCUCUAGCUCCUCUGUCCCCGCAGCAGCCUUGCCCAGUUGGGAGGUCCCAGGCCCGGUCCUGGGGACGGCAGACAGCGCUUAGAGUCUUCAUGUGGGAGGCGAGGCUGGACCCCCACAGAACCUGCUGCCCACGUCUGUGCUGUGGAGGUAACUCCAGACCCCAUGCUAAAGACAGCAGUGACCCUGAGCCCCCCAGCCUAAGUGUUUGGGGCUGGUUUGUUUCCAUGUGCUCUGUCAGGAGAGAGGUUGAGAAACACCAGAUUCUGUCCUUUCGUCUUGUGGCAGGAUGGUGCUGCAUUGGCCCCACUGCACAGAUAAGAAAACUGAGGCUCCAAGCAAGAGGUGAGUGACUUGCCCAAGGUCACACUGUGCCCGGGUGGGCCUUUACCCCUGAUUCUGCCUUCUGGGGGUGGAUGGAGCUGGGGACGUGCAGUUGACAUCAGUGUGCAGCCUGCUCAGGAGUCCAGAUGUCCUCUUGGUACCACUCCAUGUGGCCUCACUGCAGGUAGACACACUUCAGGGCCCCCAGGGCUCUGGGUGUGGGGGAGGGGGAAUCUCCUGAACGCGCUGAUGGGCAGUUGAGGACAGGUCCAGGGAGGGCCCGGGCUUCUG
RNAcentral lists this long non-coding RNA (735 nucleotides) under Sus scrofa (pig). RNAcentral's name for it is "lncRNA (ENSSSCG00050037278.1, ENSSSCG00055023465.1)". The record is from RNAcentral. Lineage: Eukaryota; Metazoa; Chordata; Mammalia; Artiodactyla; Suidae.